Molecule: ribosomal RNA, 1945 nt
Filed under: human gut metagenome
Description: bacterial LSU rRNA
Rfam family: Bacterial large subunit ribosomal RNA
Source: RNAcentral
UCAAGCAAAAAAGAGCGCAGGGUGGAUGCCUUGGCACUAAGAGCCGAAGAAAGACGUGAUAAGCUGCGAAAAGCUGCGGGGAGAUGCAAAUAAUCUUUGAUCCGCAGAUGUCUGAAUGGGGAAACCCGGCUGGAAGGACUCCAGUCAUCCAUACGCCAAUCCAUAACGUAUGGAAGGGAACCCGGUGAACUGAAACAUCUAAGUAGCCGGAGGAAGAGAAAGAAACAUCGAUUCCGGAAGUAGCGGCGAGCGAACCCGGAAGAGCCCAAACCAGCGUGCGUGCAUGCUGGGGUUAAGGACUGCAUAAGUGAGCCGAUCUGUUAAUGGAACUGCCUGGGAAGGCAGGCCAGAGAGGGUGAAAGCCCCGUACAUGAAAACAGCAGGCAGCGGCAGGAUCCAGAGUACCGCGAGACACGAGAAACCUUGCGGGAAGUCGGAGGGACCACCCUCCAAGGCUAAAUACUCCUUAGUGACCGAUAGCGCAUAGUACUGUGAAGGAAAGGUGAAAAGGACCCCGGGAGGGGAGUGAAAGAGAACCUGAAACCCUGUGUUUACAAGCUGUGGGAGCACGUUAAGGUGCAACCGCGUACUUUUUGUAGAACGGUCCGGCGAGUUGCCGGUGCUGGCAAGGUUAAAUGGUACAGCCAUGGAGCCGAAGGGAAACCAAGUCUCAAAUGGGCGUAAAGUCAGCACAGGCAGACCCGAAACCGGGUGACCUAUCCAUGUCCAGGAUGAAGCGGAAGUAAAAUUCCGUGGAGGUCCGGAUCCACAUCCGUUGAAAAGGGUGGGAAUGAGGUGUGGAUAGGGGAGAAAUUCCAAUCGAACCCGGAGAUAGCUGGUUCUCCUCGAAAUAGCUUUAGGGCUAGCCCCGUAUUAGUUUAGCGGAGGUAGAGCACUGAAUUCCUAAGGGGGCGUCAAAGCUUACCAAGGGAUAUCAAACUCCGAAUGCCGCAUAAAUGAUGUACGGGAGUCAGACUGCACGAGAUAAGUUGGGCAGUCAAAAGGGAAAGAGCCCAGACCUACAGCUAAGGUCCCAAAGUGUGUGUUAAGUGGAAAAGGAUGUGGGAUUUCAGAGACAACUAGGAUGUUGGCUUAGAAGCAGCCACACAUUCAAAGAGUGCGUAAUAGCUCACUAGUCGAGAGGUCCUGCGCCGAAAAUGUCCGGGGCUAAAACACAACACCGAAGCUUAGGAAUGUAGAAAUACAUUGGUAGAGGAGCAUUCUUAAAGGAAUGAAGCAGUACCGAUAAGGAGCUGUGGACUUUUAAGAAGAGAGAAUGCCGGAAUGAGUAGCGAGAUGGAGGUGGGAAUCCUCCAGGCCGAAUAUCCAAGGUUUCCAGAGUAAAGCUGAUCUGCUCUGGGUAAGUCGGGGCCUAAGGUAAGGCUGAGAAGCGUAGCCGAUGGACAACAGGUUGAGAUUCCUGUACCGCGUAUCAUCAGAACUGUGGGGACACAGAAGGACAGCACAUCCCGGGAAUGGAAAGACCGGGGCAAGCAGGGUAGGAGUUAAGCUGGCAAAUCCGCUUAACAAUCCGAAGCUGUGAUGCGGAGCGAAUUUAAGUAGCGAAGUGUGCGAUUCCAGCUGUCAAGAAAAGCCGCUAUUGUGUGAUACGUGCCCGUACCGUAAACCGACACAGGUAGAUGAGGAGAGAAUCCUAAGGCCGGCGGGAGAAGCAUUGUUAAGGAACUCGGCAAAAUGACCCUGUAACUUCGGGAGAAAGGGUGCCUGGGAAACCAGGCCGCAGAGAAUAGGCUCAAGCAACUGUUUAGCAAAAACACAGGUCUAUGCAAAACCGUAAGGUGAGGUAUAUGGGCUGACGCCUGCCCGGUGCUGGAAGGUUAAGAGGAGAGGUUAGAGCAAUCGAAGCUUUGAAUUGAAGCCCCAGUAAACGGCGGCCGUAACUAUAACGGUCCUAAGGUAGCGAAAUUCCUUGUCGGGUAAGUUC